AACCGCUUCAACCGUCGAAAAGGUAGGAAUGCUGUCAGCGCUCGCUUCGCACAAACACCGGCGUGCGGAGCAGCGAAGACGGGAACAGAACACCGAGUCGAAGCACUUCAGUCUGCCGCUUUUGCCUUCAUGUGGCUCCCCCGUGCAGCAUCGCGACCAUAUGGCCGAGCGCUGCAGCUGUUCGAUGUCGCCUGAGGCCUGCUAGAAAACAGCGCAAGUUGGGCUGGUAAGCAGCGAAAUUGUUAUGCAAUUACUAUAUGGUGCCGGAUCGAUUCUCUUGAAUGGUGUUUGACUCAAUACAGGAUCUAUCUGGUGAUUGAUAGUGAUGUUAGGAUUGAGUAUUGUAUUUUACAGUUGGUGAAACAGUGCUUCAUUGAGGCAUUUGGCCCGUAGUCUGUUGUACUAACGAGUACCAAGAAAAGUGGCAUAGCGGAUAUAAGUACGGAUUAAGAGUUCAGACGUUAUUGUGAUCAGUGGUGAAACGAUAUAUAAGUCGAUCGGCAGUGCGAACACAGUAUGUGGCAGUGAGCUUUCGGUGUUGAAGGAAAGUCCUGGUGCAACAGCUACGGGCAAGUUGAGUGAGUUAUGCAACUAAGUUUUUAAGUAUCUGGAUACUGCAAGACCGUUAAGUGCCAAACAAACUAUUUCAGGAUACAGUAGGGGUACAGCCGCUAGACCAUACGUUCUUCAGAUACAGCCAAGACGUCCCCCGCGGGUACGAUUGCACCUCAUCAACCAUCAGCCGAACAUCGCUGGACCAACCUCAAAAGGGCGAUUGAAUAUCGUGUUUAUAUUGCCAGUUAACCCGCAAGUGGACAAGCUUAGGUUCGUCGUGGAUUCGCAGGAAUCAUCGCCACUCGUUCUGCGCUUGUGUAGCUGC
Varroa destructor (honeybee mite) is the source of this 880-nucleotide RNA transcript. RefSeq lists it as uncharacterized. The record is from RefSeq and is a predicted model, not a curated record. Lineage: Eukaryota; Metazoa; Arthropoda; Arachnida; Mesostigmata; Varroidae.